UGCCAGGUGGGAUUGAUCUCGGCCGGCUUUUGUGGUGGGAUCGACCUUUUCCGGCCUUCUGGGUGAGAUCUUCCUUCUCCUCUGGCUCUCCAGGUGGGAUUUGGCUUCUUCAGCUCUCCUGGUGGGAUUCACACCUGUUCUUCCAGUUCUCCAGGUGGGAUUCCUCUCCAAUUCUCCUGGUGGGAUUCAUACUUGAUUUUUUAGGUGACGUUUAUCUUCUUCAACUCUUCAGGUAGGAUUUACCCUCUCCAA
This is a long non-coding RNA of Dromaius novaehollandiae (emu), 252 nucleotides long. RefSeq lists it as uncharacterized. NCBI's taxonomy places the organism in Eukaryota, Metazoa, Chordata, Aves, Casuariiformes, Dromaiidae. The record is from RefSeq and is a predicted model, not a curated record. The transcript has 3 exons.